CAAACCCUAACUUCUGAGUGUCACUUCCACCGCACCCUCUACAUCCUCUUCCUCGCUCUAUGUUCUUUUUGCCAUAUCAUUAUUUUGUGCUCCUUUUAAUCCCGCAGGUGAUGGAGAAUCGAAAGUGCAUCUGCAUCAUAGAGCUGAAGCUCUACCCAUUCGAAUCAGUUCUUUGGUGGCGCUGAAACAACUAUUAAGGUACUUCUUCCUCUGCAGGAAUAGGAAAUCGAGGGUUUCAAAUGACUUUUAAUGCUUUUCAGCACUCAAGCCAGGUGGGAGAUACCUUAUGUCUCAUAUAACAUCCUAAUCAUCUUUUUCGUUAUUCCAUAUGCUAUGUUUAAACCCUGAAUACUUCGUCAUUCCUCUCCUCUCCCAAUUUUCUUCCCCCCUAUUUAAUUAAUUGAGAAAGAUAAAAUGACAAAUACUUCAUGAGAAAGAAGCAUGGGUGAGUCGGAAUUUCAACAUCCAGUUCUGUCAAUAUAAGUUUGUGAUAAUAUGGUGUUUUAAAAGUGGAGGCGGGAUUGAUUUCAGAAGACAUCACCAUCUCAGUUCGCGUAGCAGAAUUAGAUGCAGAUGAAAUGGAAAAUAUUUGCUGAGUUGAUUUUGAGGGAUUCACAGACAUCUAUUCCCUAAGCUACACUAUGUGAAAAUCCUCUAUAAAAUUAGAUAUCUUGGCUCAAGGAUGUUGUCGUGCUGCUAAUGUUGGACUAAUAGUGGAAAAGAUGCCAGAACUACAAGAAUGUAUUGAUGCGGAUUAAAUGGCGUCGAAUGCUCUCAAUUCUCACUAUGGCUACAACGAGUUACUGAUAAGUGUUUUGAUCCGUGAAUAAUGUAAGUGUCCUCUUCUAUAUAUAUGGAGUUCAGAUCAUGAUAAAAUCAACACUUUGUUAAUCAAAUAGAGUAUCAUGGUGGAGGACUAAAGAAGUAUUAUGGUCAGAUAUUAAUCAUCUUUUACGGUAAGUUCAUAAAUUUCCUUCCCUUAAUUAGUUUUGAUGUACAUUGCACGUAUAACUGGGAUUGAUUUCAAGUGUGGUGGUAAGCCAGCUGAAUUAUCAGCUGAUUGCUUUGCCUAUCUUACUAACAUUCCCAAACGUGAAUAUAAAUUUUCUAUCUAUGAUGUUGAACGUCCCUUGACAGCAGAAAAUACCCUUAAUUGCUGUCAUCCAUUGGUAAAUUCAAAACCAAUUUUGAUUUUACUAUUAUCUUUGGUUUCACACUUCUGUAACUCAAACUGCACAGGGCUUCCUGUUACUACCUCAAGGAGAGACUUCACAUUAGAGAAAAGCGGUUGAAUUACCGGCAAGUAGACUCUUUCAGCACUUUAAGUUUCCUUUCUUAUGGAGGAUGGUAUCUCUGACAAAGUAUAGUUAGUACCGCUUACACGAAAAAUGACUAUGGCCGGGAUUUUGUUAUAUAUAUCUUCAAGUUGUCGUCUACAUUUAUCUUUAGGUUGGGGAACCAUGCAAGCAAGGAGAUAAAUACAACCCAAAAGCCGGGAUAGGCCUUAUGUCAGGUAAAUGUAUGCUUCUCAAUCAUUUCUGGAGUACUAUGCCGCUUUAUGUGUCCGCAUUAUGGACUAAAAAUAUGCGGCGAUGGUGGUGGAGGUGGUUAUGGUGACAGUGGGGACGUCAGCAAAGAUGGAGGCUCUGGGUCGGAAAGACAUCAACAACAAUGAAAACAGUUUGCAGUGUGUACUGAAAGGAUCUGUAUACACUUUGCUGCCAAGCUCAUGUACUAAUAAGCAACCGUGUAAACAUUAAUUGAUAUAGAAGGUGAGGAAAUUAUCCAUGUAGUCACAAAAUGAAUAUCAAGUAACUGUUUCUCAGUAGUUAUUUCAUUAUUUGAGCACUUAAUGAGAAAGAGGUGGUGAAUUAUGUAGCAUUCCUGAUGCCAAUACUAAAUAGUAACGUACUGUAAACUAUGCCA
Papaver somniferum (opium poppy) is the source of this 1926-nucleotide long non-coding RNA. RefSeq lists it as uncharacterized. The transcript is spliced from 6 exons. Lineage: Eukaryota; Viridiplantae; Streptophyta; Magnoliopsida; Ranunculales; Papaveraceae. The record is from RefSeq and is a predicted model, not a curated record.